Long non-coding RNA from Crotalus tigris (Tiger rattlesnake), 484 nucleotides. RefSeq lists it as uncharacterized. The record is from RefSeq and is a predicted model, not a curated record. The transcript is spliced from 3 exons. Lineage: Eukaryota; Metazoa; Chordata; Lepidosauria; Squamata; Viperidae.
AAGUGAAUUGAAUGGAGUAUUUAAGAAAUACAUCUAUUAGAAGAAGAGGCAAGGUGAAGAAUGGACAAAUGAAUGAAUGUGGAUUGAAUAAAAAAAUCUGAACUGUAUCAAAGAUGGAGAAGUCAAGAUGAGAGUUAAAUAGCAAGCCAAAUACAUGAAGGAAAAGUGAGUUGAGGUAAAACUGAGAAAGUUGUGGCUGGAUGGAAUUUAUGAGAUCCUGAACAAAAGAAAGGUUCAGCAGACAAAGAAACAACAGCUGGAGGCAGCUGAAUGUGACAGACUCCAUCUGCAUUCAGCACACCGUCUGCACGUAAGGAAAGCCUGCCUGUUCGAGCUUACUUUAAAUACAUAUCCCUGCAUCAAAGGAUAAACACAGAACCCAGUGAAAGCAAUCAAUAAGCACUAACACUCACAGUAAUGCCAUCCUGCUGGGUGUUGUCAAGCAAUCCUUUUCCAGACUGGUGGCAGAAUCCUGAAAGAGAAG